This 483-nucleotide ribosomal RNA is filed under the name uncultured bacterium. RNAcentral describes it as "SSU rRNA". It matches the Rfam family "Bacterial small subunit ribosomal RNA", at positions 26 to 522 of the family's 1533-position model. The record is from RNAcentral.
AGGACGAACGCUGGCGGCGUGCCUAACACAUGCAAGUGGAGCGACGAACCAGGCUUCGGCCUGGGGCAGAGCCGCGAACGGGUGAGUAACACGUGGGUAACCUGCCCUGAUGAUUGGGACAACCCGAGGAAACUCGGGCUAAUACCGAAUGUGCCCUCCGGCCUCAAGGCCGUUGGGGAAAGGAAGCCUCGGCCUCCGCAUCGGGAUGGGCCCGCGGCCCAUUAGCUAGUUGGUGGGGUAAUGGCCUACCAAGGCGACGAUGGGUAGCUGGUCUGAGAGGACGAUCAGCCACACUGGGACUGAGACACGGCCCAGACUCCUACGGGGGGCAGCAGUGAGGAAUUUUCGUCAAGUGGGGAAACCCUGAACGAGCAACGCCGCGUGCAGGAAGACACUUUUCGGAGCGUAAACUGCUUUUCUCGGGGACGAGUAAGGACGGUACCGAGGAAUCAGCCCCGGCUAACUACGUGCCAGCACGCCGAC